UCUGUCCUCCCGGUUUGGUUUGGUCAUCAAGCCACCCACUCACUUGUCUGCUCCUAUGCUGUCUGUUUACCUGCAAAUCAGUUUUUCAUUUAUCCAUCAACAGUGUUUUGGUGAUCUCAUCACUCUGCCGCUGUGUUUUUUUUCCCUGUUCCCAUGUAUCUGUCAGUCAGCCUGCAUUCUGUCAGCCACAUGUCUCCAUCUACAUAAUUUGUUUUGUCUCCCUGCCUGUCACUUUUAACAGGAGGCGAUUGACUCGGCUCUCUGCAGGGACGGCAUCCUUGCACCACUUUUGGAUGACAGGAUGACACAUUUCCAUCCAUUUCACGGCAUGAUAUUUUUAUCACACGGCUCUGUUCCCAGUGCGAUCCAUUUUUCAUUGUGCUGAGACCACAGAUGCAUUCAACAACACAAGAAGAGCUUCCUGGGGUCAAUCUCUUCUGUGAAAUUCAUGUUGGUGUGUGUGGAAGGUCACAGAGGGGAUGAGCCACAGAGGACUUCAAAUGGAGAGAUUAUUACUCCAGACAGACCUAGAGAAAGAAGUGAUGCUAAUUGUAGAGUGAGUUCACGGUCCAAACUGGGGUCAGUGUGGAGUCACGACUAAAACCGUGUGCACCAAGAUAGUUCUGUUUUAUUUAUCUCAGUCAUUGAGGAACUCAGUGCAUGUACGCAAACUUUAUCUUCACUCCCACAGUUAGCCAUAAACGGAUGUAGACACGCCCUUAAUCAUCUGUUUGUAUCAUUAAUACUCUGCUCCACCAUUCUUUAGAUGUGUUAAAAAGGACGGCAAAGAAGUAGUGCAAGUUCAAGCUGUCAUUACCUGCAACCAUUACCCAAAGCUGUGGACAGGCACUUGUAUCAUUAAUUCAACGCAUGUACUUGCAUCAGUUAUUGGCAGGGAUAUCCCAUGAUAAACAAAAAAAAAAAUGUAGUAAAUAAUAUUGUUCAGUGGUUCCCAAAGUAGAUGCCGCAGUACCCUGGGAUGCUGCAAUAUGUAUUUCUUGUUUGCUUUUUUAACUGUACAGUUUUUAAUUAAAUUUCAUCACAUGAAAAA
This is a long non-coding RNA of Micropterus dolomieu (smallmouth bass), 1051 nucleotides long. RefSeq lists it as uncharacterized. Lineage: Eukaryota; Metazoa; Chordata; Actinopteri; Centrarchiformes; Centrarchidae. The record is from RefSeq and is a predicted model, not a curated record. The transcript has 2 exons.